RNAcentral lists this ribosomal RNA (434 nucleotides) under uncultured bacterium. Its description in RNAcentral is "partial 16S ribosomal RNA". It matches the Rfam family "Bacterial small subunit ribosomal RNA", at positions 29 to 507 of the family's 1533-position model. The record is from RNAcentral.
AGCGAACGCUGGCGGCAGGCCUAACACAUGCAAGUCGAACGAACCUUUCGGGGUUAGUGGCGGACGGGUGAGUAACACGUGGGAACGUGCCUUUAGGUUCGGAAUAACUUAGGGAAACUUGUGCUAAUACCGAAUGUGCCCUUCGGGGGAAAGAUUAAUCGCCUUUAGAGCGGCCCGCGUCUGAUUAGCUAGUUGGUUGAGGUAAUGGCUCACCAAGGCGACGAUCAGUAGCUGGUCUGAGAGGAUGAUCAGCCACAUUGGGACUGAGACACGGCCCAAACUCCCACGGGAGGCAGCAGUGGGGAAUCUUGCGCAAUGGGCGAAAGCCUGACGCAGCCAUGCCGCGUGAAUGAUGAAGGUCUUAGGAUUGUAAAAUUCUUUCACCGGGGACGAUAAUGACGGUACCCGGAGAAGAAGCCCCGGCUAACUUCGUG